GAUGAACGCUGGCGGCGUGCCUAAUACAUGCAAGUCGAGCGAACAGACGAGGAGCUUGCUCCUCUGACGUUAGCGGCGGACGGGUGAGUAACACGUGGAUAACCCACCUAUAAGACUGGGAUAACUUCGGGAAACCGGAGCUAAUACCGGAUAAUAUAUUGAACCGCAUGGUUCAAUAGUGAAAGACGGUUUUGCUGUCACUUAUAGAUGGAUCCGCGCCGCAUUAGCUAGUUGGUAAGGUAACGGCUUACCAAGGCAACGAUGCGUAGCCGACCUGAGAGGGUGAUCGGCAACACUGGAACUGAGACACGGUCCAGCCUCCUAAGGGAGGCAGCAGUAGGGAAUCUUCCGCAAUGGGCGAAAGCCUGACGGAGCAACGCCGCGUGAGUGAUGAAGGUCUUCGGAUCGUAAAACUCUGUUAUUAGGGAAGAACAAAUGUGUAAGUAACUAUGCACGUCUUGACGGUACCUAAUCAGAAAGCCACGGCUAACUACGUG
Molecule: ribosomal RNA, 497 nt
Filed under: uncultured bacterium
Lineage: Bacteria
Description: partial 16S ribosomal RNA
Rfam family: Bacterial small subunit ribosomal RNA
Source: RNAcentral